UCAGCACCCUUGGUUUCCUCUGUCUGGAAAUAACAGUUUCAAAACAAUGGAUGAUUCAUUUCAGUCCAAUUUAUCAUCAAGCUAUAGAAGGGGGGAAGUACUCUAAUGAACUAGCAUGCUAGUAAAAUUCUUGUGAAGAUGUUAAUCCUGUAAUUAUAAUAUAUUAGGUAAUUGAUCAGUUAGUCUAGUCAGCAAAUUAGUUAGAAUAGUUGUAAUGAAUUCAUAGAUGGUUGAAAGCUAAGCAAUGCUAGCUGUGGAGCUUGUAUAAAAAAAUGUAACUAAACAUAUUCCAAGAUCAAUGAAUUAAUUUUCAGUUCAACCCUUAGAGCUAAAAAACGAUUAGAUCUAGAACGGUGAUGGUUAUUUUUUACAAAGCUUCUCAUCAAUGGCCCCAAGUCUUUAAUCUGAAAUUAAGCAUUCGAAUAAUCUUUCAAACUCUGAAUUUCAUCUUUACACCUGCAAGAAUUAUGCCAUCUAUGUAAACUAUCACGACCAG
Molecule: unclassified non-coding RNA, 496 nt
Filed under: Hevea brasiliensis (rubber tree)
Lineage: Eukaryota; Viridiplantae; Streptophyta; Magnoliopsida; Malpighiales; Euphorbiaceae
Source: RNAcentral